UACGGAGGGAGCGAGCGUUGUCCGAAGUUACUGGGCGUAAAGCGCGCGUAGGCGGGACAUUAAGUGAGAAGUGAAAGGCUGGGGCUCAACCCCAUGCAGUGCUCCUCAUACUGGUUUUCUUGAGGGUGGUAGAGAGAAGUGGAAUGGCUGGUGUAGCGGUGAAAUGCGUAGAUAUCAGUCGGAACACCAGUGGCGAAGGCGGCUUCUUGGGCCAUUACUGACGCUGAGGCGCGAAAGCCAGGGGAGCGAACGGG
This 254-nucleotide ribosomal RNA is filed under the name uncultured bacterium. RNAcentral describes it as "partial 16S ribosomal RNA". It matches the Rfam family "Bacterial small subunit ribosomal RNA", at positions 524 to 776 of the family's 1533-position model. The record is from RNAcentral.